This 624-nucleotide long non-coding RNA is filed under the name Ananas comosus (pineapple). RNAcentral describes it as "long non-coding RNA (ACOM_LNC036773)". The record is from RNAcentral. Lineage: Eukaryota; Viridiplantae; Streptophyta; Magnoliopsida; Poales; Bromeliaceae.
UUGGUACAGCACUAGAUCUGCUUGCUUAAUUGCAUCUUAGGGCCCGUUUGUUUUGGUGUAACUGGAGUACUUCCGUUAUUUGUUUUGGUGUAAGUGAAAAAUAUAAUGUAACUCAAGUUACGUUAGAGCUCCACUUCACCUACUCUCGACUUCCGGCUCUAAAGUACCGAACUCGACUUCCACCACACUCAACUUUUUCUAAACAAUUUAUUAAACAGUAAAACCUAAACUCUACUUUCUUUAUAAUGGGUUAGAAUUAUCUUAUUUAUAAUAAAUUAAGAUUAUCUUUAAAUAAUAAUAAAAAAUUUAAUUAUAUAAUAGGUUAAAUUUUAUAGUGAUAAAUUUAUUACUAUAUUUAGGAGAUAAUGGAAUCCACUUACUUACAUCAAAACAAACAACGGAACUCAAAAAACUAAUUUUACCAGCACCAAGUUACAUCAAAACAAACAGCAGAAAUGAUUGAAUUUAACUUUCAGUGGUACGAGUUACGUCAAAACAAACAACAGAAAAAUAAUCACACUUCAGGGAAACUCAAACACCACUACACUUGACUUACGUUGAAUCUACAAAUUCGUCAAUCCAAACGCCCCCUUAGCUUCUUACCAGCUUACAAUGUUGCUUCUC